UGGAGGCGGGGUCGGGGAAUGUAUUUCUCAUCUUCGCCUCCGCCCCGUAAAACUUUUUUUUCUUAUAUUUAUUAUAAUAAAUUUAUUGUUAUGUUAUUUAUUUUAUUAUAUAAAUAUUAUAUUUAACUAUGUUUUUUUUUUCCUAAAAAGAGGAUCAAAUGGGAGAAAAAUUGUCUGCAAAUGGUCCGAUCACCGCAAAUUUUCUGUAGUAAAUCCCUGGGCGAUCCCGUGAGAAUUUGACGGGCAGUAACGAAAUGGGGAGUGAGGAGUGGGUAGGCCGGCCGCCCCAUGCAGAAUAGUGGUUGUUCAGUAAUGUUGUUCCUACCCCACUCCCAAACUCCGAAUUCAAUCAUUCGUGGUGAUUUUCCGCCAAGGAAGAAUUGUUACUCUUUAUUUCUCUCUCAAUCGGAGUCUCUCAACAGCGGAUUCAAUCGUAGGCUCCAUACGAUCUGUAGCUUCCAAGUGUUGAAUGACGCUGUUGUCGGCGUCGUCACCGCCAUGCUCAAUAACCAGUGUUCCAAUUAAGAGAAAGUUUGUUGAUUGUAUCUUUAUUAGCUUCCCGUGAAUCUUUCUUAGACCAUCGCUUCAAGCCUUCUCUUACACCUCUUAUCUCAGUUCAGGCUCUAUCGACAUGCCGUUCCAUAUCGGCUUUUGGCUUCACUCAUUUAGUCUUCACGAGGUGUAGUGUCUCUGGAUGAAGGAGAAGCUGAAAGACUAGGAAAGGAGAAAGCAUUUGCAUUCUACAUUGAAGCACAAGAUUCUUUUCCUGAAUCAUGGAAGAUCAUCAAGGCAAGAGGAGCUCCAAACCAUCCAUUAUCAACGGCCUAAACGCUUCAGUUCAGCCGAUCAUCAUUCAGAUGGACAAUCACUUGGUUAUUGGGGAAUCGGACAUUAUCACCAGGAAACAAACUGUAAAAGUCCGAUAAUCCUCGAGCGUUACACUAUUAUGAAUCACUAUGCUAGCCACACUUUUGGAAGUAGCAACUUUAGCCAUGUAAAACUCUUAAGUUUGAGAGAAUCUGAAUUGUUAAUUGCAUUUUAAAAGAUAUAUAUACAAGUGUACAAGAGUGACCUAAGUAGGAAUGCGUCAAAAAGACAAUAAAGGACAAUUUAAUAAAGAUAUUUACAAUGAUAAAAUAA
Long non-coding RNA from Benincasa hispida (wax gourd), 1140 nucleotides. RefSeq lists it as uncharacterized. The record is from RefSeq and is a predicted model, not a curated record. Lineage: Eukaryota; Viridiplantae; Streptophyta; Magnoliopsida; Cucurbitales; Cucurbitaceae.